This 468-nucleotide ribosomal RNA is filed under the name uncultured bacterium. Its description in RNAcentral is "partial 16S ribosomal RNA". It matches the Rfam family "Bacterial small subunit ribosomal RNA", at positions 28 to 507 of the family's 1533-position model. The record is from RNAcentral.
GACGAACGCUGGCGGCGUGCUUAAUACAUGCAAGUCGAACGGACAGGCCCGGCUCUUGCUGGGUGCUCGUGUGGCGAACGGGUGUGUAACACGUGAGUAACCUGCCCCUGACUUAGGGAUAACUCCAGGAAACUCGGGCUAUUACCGCGUAGGAUCUCUUGCUGCACGUGGGGGGUUGGAAAGAUUCGGCGGUUGGGGCUCGUCUCGCGGCUUAUCAGCUUGUUGGUGGGGUAGUGGCGUACAAAGGUUUUGACGGAUAGGCGGCCUGAGAGGGUGACCGGCGACAUUGGGACUGAGGUACGGCCCAGACUGCUACGGGAGGCAGUAGUGGGGAGUAUUGCACAAUGGGCGGAAGCCUGAUGCGGCAGCGCCGGGUGCGGGAUGACGGCCUACGAGUUAUAAACCGAUUUCGCCUGUGACGAACCGUGAGUGACGGUAAUGGGUAAGAAAGCACCGGCUAACUACGUG